RNAcentral lists this non-coding RNA (31 nucleotides) under Mus musculus (house mouse). The record is from RNAcentral. Lineage: Eukaryota; Metazoa; Chordata; Mammalia; Rodentia; Muridae.
UAAAAUAAAUAAAAAUUUUUAAAAGGUGGGU